GCGGAUGUGGCGGAAUUGGCAGACGCGCUAGAUUUAGGUUCUAGUGGAUUAUAUCCGUGCAGGUUCGAUUCCUGUCAUCCGUA
Molecule: transfer RNA, 83 nt
Filed under: Leuconostoc mesenteroides
Lineage: Bacteria; Bacillati; Bacillota; Bacilli; Lactobacillales; Lactobacillaceae
Also listed under: 6 other names
Description: tRNA-Leu
Rfam family: tRNA
About the family: Transfer RNA (tRNA) molecules are approximately 80 nucleotides in length. Their secondary structure includes four short double-helical elements and three loops (D, anti-codon, and T loops). Further hydrogen bonds mediate the characteristic L-shaped molecular structure. tRNAs have two regions of fundamental functional importance: the anti-codon, which is responsible for specific mRNA codon recognition, and the 3' end, to which the tRNAs corresponding amino acid is attached (by aminoacyl-tRNA synthetases). tRNAs cope with the degeneracy of the genetic code in two manners: having more than one tRNA (with a specific anti-codon) for a particular amino acid; and 'wobble' base-pairing, i.e. permitting non-standard base-pairing at the 3rd anti-codon position.
Source: RNAcentral